GAAGUCUUGAACAGUUGAGGGGAAUGCUGUCUGGUUCGAGACCGUUCAUUUGAAGCUCUAGACUUCAUCAGAAUGAUCUCGGACCAGGCUUCAUUCCCCCCAACUUAUGGAAUAUAUAC
Molecule: microRNA precursor, 119 nt
Filed under: Theobroma cacao (cacao)
Lineage: Eukaryota; Viridiplantae; Streptophyta; Magnoliopsida; Malvales; Malvaceae
Description: miR166d stem-loop (tcc-MIR166d)
Gene: tcc-MIR166d
Rfam family: mir-166 microRNA precursor family (bases 14-104)
About the family: This family represents the plant microRNA (miRNA) precursor mir-166. Animal miRNAs are transcribed as ~70nt precursors and subsequently processed by the Dicer enzyme to give a ~22nt product.
Source: miRBase by way of RNAcentral